This 449-nucleotide ribosomal RNA is filed under the name uncultured bacterium. RNAcentral's name for it is "partial 16S ribosomal RNA". It matches the Rfam family "Bacterial small subunit ribosomal RNA", at positions 29 to 523 of the family's 1533-position model. The record is from RNAcentral.
AACGAACGCUGGCGGCAUGCCUAACACAUGCAAGUCGAACGAGACCUUCGGGUCUAGUGGCGCACGGGUGCGUAACGCGUGGGAAUCUGCCCUUCGGUUGGGAAUAACUGAGAGAAAUUUCAGCUAAUACCUUAUAAUGUCUUCGGACCAAAGAUUUAUCGCCGAGGGAUGAGCCCGCGUAGGAUUAGGUAGUUGGUGGGGUAAUGGCCUACCAAGCCGACGAUCCUUAGCUGGUCUGAGAGGAUGAUCAGCCACACUGGGACUGAGACACGGCCCAGAGUCCUACGGGAGGCAGCAGGGGGGAAUAUUGGACAAUGGGCGAAAGCCUGAUCCAGCAAUGCCGCGUGAGUGAUGAAGGCCUUAGGGUUGUAAAGCUCUUUUACCCGGGAUGAUAAUGACAGUACCGGGAGAAUACGCUCCGGCUAACUCCGUGCCAGCAGCCGCCGUAA